AUAGCUGUCUGCCAGAAUGUGGCUCUGAGUGCAGAGGACAAGCUUCUUAUGCGACACCGGCUGCGGAAACACAAGAUCCUAGUGAAGGUGUACCCCAACCAGGUCCUGAGGCCUUUCCUGGAGGAUUCCAAGUACCAAAACCUGCUGCCCCUUUUUGUGGGGCACAACAUGCUGCUGGUCAGUGAAGAGCCCAAGGUCAAGGAGAUGUUACGGAUCUUAAGGACUGUGCCAUUCCUGCCGCUGCUAGGUGGCUGCAUUGAUGACAUCAUCCUCAGCAGGGAGGGCUUUGUCAACUACUCCAAGCUCCCCAGCUUGCCCCUGGUGCAGGGGGAGCUUGUAGGAGGCCUCACCUGCAUCACGGCCCAGAACCACUCCCUGCUCCAGCACCAGCCCCUCCAGCUGACCACCCUGUUGGACCAGUACAUCAGACAGCAACGCAAGGAUUCUGUUGUGUCAGCCAAUGGGAAGCCAGAUCCUCCUGACCGUGUUCCAGACUCGUAGCCAGCCUGUUUAGCCAGCCCUGCCUAUAAAUACACUCUGCCCUAAAAAAAAAAAAAAAAAAAAAAAA
Sapajus apella (tufted capuchin) is the source of this 568-nucleotide RNA transcript. It is a transcript of the gene named 39S ribosomal protein L10, mitochondrial pseudogene, with no coding region annotated. Lineage: Eukaryota; Metazoa; Chordata; Mammalia; Primates; Cebidae. The record is from RefSeq and is a predicted model, not a curated record. The transcript has a single exon.